CAAAACCUAUCAUAGUGGCUAAACCUGGCCAUUACAGCUGUCAAUGAUUUCUUCUAGAAAAAUGCAGUUUAUAGUUGGACCGUGGAAAUUACAGCCGUUGAGAGAGGGAGGAAGGAGAGGGAAAUCACGAGGAAAUAGACUUGAAAGAGAGAGAAGUUAUAACUUGUUAGCGUUUCAAAGUUGGCAAUGUAUGAUCACGAAUCGGUGCUCCCUCAUGACUUCGAUCCGCUUUCUGGUAACCUCGUGAGCUGGGAUCUCGUACCACAAAACAAAACAAGAGCAAGCAAACGGUAAACACCAAC
This 302-nucleotide long non-coding RNA is filed under the name Elaeis guineensis (African oil palm). Its description in RNAcentral is "long non-coding RNA (EGUI_LNC006258)". Lineage: Eukaryota; Viridiplantae; Streptophyta; Magnoliopsida; Arecales; Arecaceae. The record is from RNAcentral.